RNAcentral lists this ribosomal RNA (497 nucleotides) under uncultured bacterium. RNAcentral describes it as "partial 16S ribosomal RNA". It matches the Rfam family "Bacterial small subunit ribosomal RNA", at positions 28 to 507 of the family's 1533-position model. The record is from RNAcentral.
GAUGAACGCUGGCGGCGUGCCUAAUACAUGCAAGUCGAGCGAACGGACGAGAAGCUUGCUUCUCUGAUGUUAGCGGCGGACGGGUGAGUAACACGUGGAUAACCUACCUAUAAGACUGGGAUAACUUCGGGAAACCGUAGCUAAUACCGGAUAAUAUUUUGAACCGCAUGGUUCAAAAGUGAAAGACGGUCUUGCUGUCACUUAUAGAUGGAUCCGCGCUGCAUUAGCUAGUUGGUAAGGUAACGGCUUACCAAGGCAACGAUGCAUAGCCGACCUGAGAGGUUGAUCGGCCACACUCGAACUGAGACACGGUCCAGACUCCUACGGGAGGCAGCAGUAGGGAAUCUUGCGCGAUGGGCGAAAGCCUGACGGAGCAACGCCGAGUGAGUGCAGAAGGUCUUCGGAUCGUAAAACUCUGUUAUUAGGGAAGAACAUAUGUGUAAGUAACUGUGCACAUCGUGACGGUACCUAAUAAGAAAGCCACGGCUAACUACGUG